RNAcentral lists this ribosomal RNA (301 nucleotides) under uncultured bacterium. RNAcentral describes it as "partial 16S ribosomal RNA". It matches the Rfam family "Bacterial small subunit ribosomal RNA", at positions 509 to 807 of the family's 1533-position model. The record is from RNAcentral.
CAGCAGCCGCGGUAAUACGGAGGGUGCAAGCGUUAAUCGGAAUUACUGGGCGUAAAGCGCACGCAGGCGGUCUGACAAGUCAGAUGUGAAAUCCCCGGGCUUAACCUGGGAACUGCAUUUGAAACUGUCAGGCUGGAGUCUUGUAGAGGGGGGUAGAAUUCCAGGUGUAGCGGUGAAAUGCGUAGAGAUCUGGAGGAAUACCGGUGGCGAAGGCAGCCCCCUGGACAAAGACUGACGCUCAGGUGCGAAAGCGUGGGGAGCAAACAGGAUUAGAGACCCCUGUAGUCCCUGUCUCUUAUAC